RNAcentral lists this ribosomal RNA (466 nucleotides) under uncultured bacterium. Its description in RNAcentral is "partial 16S ribosomal RNA". It matches the Rfam family "Bacterial small subunit ribosomal RNA", at positions 28 to 507 of the family's 1533-position model. The record is from RNAcentral.
GAUGAACGCUGGCGGCGUGCUUAACACAUGCAAGUCGAACGAUGAAGCCCAGCUUGCUGGGUGGAUUAGUGGCGAACGGGUGAGUAACACGUGAGUAACCUGCCCUUAACUCUGGGAUAAGCCUGGGAAACUGGGUCUAAUACCGGAUAGGAGCGUCCACCGCAUGGUGGGUGUUGGAAAGAUUUAUCGGUUUUGGAUGGACUCGCGGCCUAUCAGCUUGUUGGUGAGGUAAUGGCUGACCAAGGCGACGACGGGUAGCCGGCCUGAGAGGGUGACCGGCCACACUGGGACUGAGACACGGCCCAGACUCCUACGGGAGGCAGCAGUGGGGAAUAUUGCACAAUGGGCGCAAGCCUGAUGCAGCGACGCCGCGUGAGGGAUGACGGCCUUCGGGUUGUAAACCUCUUUCAGUAGGGAAGAAGCGAAAGUGACGGUACCUGCAGAAGAAGCACCGGCUAACUACGUG